AAGGCGGCGGGGAUUCAAGGCCAACAGUUGUAUAAGGGUUUGGCCGGGUUUAGAAGGGUAUGGUUGCUAAUAAUUAGUUGGCCAUGUAACGGCUCACCAAGGCGGUGAUAGGUAUGGGGUGUGAGAGGAUGAUUCGUCACAUUGGGACUGAGACACGGCCCAGAGUUCUUCGGGAUGCAGCAGUGAUGAAUCUUGCGCAAUGGGUGAAAGCCUGACGCAGCCAGGUGGGUUGCCGGAAGACGGCCUUAUCGGUUGUAAACGGCUUUUGCAAUGGGAAGAACGUCCUCGGGGUUUGUCUCUGUGGCGACGGGGCCAAUUGUAUUAUCACCGGCUAAAUCCGUGAUAGCAGCCGCGGUAAUACGGAGGGUGCAAGCGUUGUCCGGAAUCAUUGGGUGUAAAGGGUGGGUAGGCGGGAGCCUAAGUGUGUGGAGGAAUCUUGGCGGUAAACGGUAAAAUGGCCAUGGAUUGGGGGUUUUUAUAGUACAGAAGAGGGCGGUGGAAUUAGUAGUGUAGCGGUGAAAUGCAUAUAUAUUACGAAGAACACCAGUUGCGAAGGCGGCCGGCUGGGAUGUAACAGACGCUGAAGCACGAAAGCGUGGGGAGCGAACAGGAUUAGAUACCCGGGAAGUC
This 630-nucleotide ribosomal RNA is filed under the name uncultured bacterium. Its description in RNAcentral is "bacterial SSU rRNA". It matches the Rfam family "Bacterial small subunit ribosomal RNA", at positions 188 to 795 of the family's 1533-position model. The record is from RNAcentral.